This 304-nucleotide long non-coding RNA is filed under the name Bos taurus (domestic cattle). Its description in RNAcentral is "long non-coding RNA NONBTAT022690". Lineage: Eukaryota; Metazoa; Chordata; Mammalia; Artiodactyla; Bovidae. The record is from RNAcentral.
AUAUGUUAAUGUGCUUUAUAUAGAAGUCAAAAAGAAUCGGAUUGAAUUUGGAGAAGUAACAUUGCUUUCUUUGUACCAUUCUCUGGUAAAAGCAUUCCAGAAAUUAUUAUAGGCCAUAAUUUCAGAUGUACACAUGAUUUUUAAAAACUGCUUUCCCAUAAAAGUUUUAUUUGAUUUAUAAUGUGAUUCUACCCAGAUUCAAUCAGAGGUUUUUUUUUCCUGGUCUUCAGCAUUCAGAUUUCUCACCACACUAGUGGCAGAUAGUAACAUUUCUUCCAUAGAGUUCUUGAAUGGACUAAAUUAA